RNAcentral lists this ribosomal RNA (775 nucleotides) under uncultured Neocallimastigales. RNAcentral's name for it is "partial large subunit ribosomal RNA". It matches the Rfam family "Eukaryotic large subunit ribosomal RNA", at positions 26 to 628 of the family's 3401-position model. The record is from RNAcentral. Lineage: Eukaryota; Fungi; Neocallimastigomycota; Neocallimastigomycetes; Neocallimastigales.
CGUCUAUAUACGUAUAGCAUAUCAAUAAGCGGAGGAAAAGAAACUAACUAGGAUUCCCUCAGUAACGGCGAGUGAAGCGGGAAGAGCUCAAAUUUGAAAUCUUCAAGGUUUUACCUUGACGAAUUGUAGUUUAAAGAAGUGUUUUCUGUUGGAAUUUUGGUAAAAGUUCUUUGGAAUAGGACAUCAUAGAGGGUGAGAAUCCCGUAUUUGACCAUUAUUUCCAACUCUGUGAUACACUUUCAAAGAGUCGGAUUGUUUGGGAAUGCAGUCCAAAAUGGGUGGUAAAUUUCAUCUAAAGCUAAAUACUGGCGAGAGACCGAUAGCGAACAAGUACCGUGAGGGAAAGAUGAAAAGAACUUUGAAAAGAGAGUUAAACAGUACGUGAAAUUGUCAAAAGGGAAGCGUUUGACACCAGUGUUGUUUUCUCGAAAAUCAAUUAAAAAUGGCAGGAUUUUGUGUUGUAUUGACUUUAUCGGCUUUCUGCACUUUUUUCUUGUCUUUUUUAAUGCACUUUUCGUUUAACAAGUCAACAUCAAUUUCUUUUGUUGUAAAAGAGUCAUUGGAAGGUGGCUUUCUUUUCGGAGAAAGUGUUUAUAGCCUUUGACUUCUGCAAGUCGGAGAGAUUGAGGUCUGCAGCGUAGAUCCUUCGGGGUUAGAUGCAUUUGUGCUAAGUUAUAGCCUUUCAUAGACAACUUGUUGACUAUGAUCAGUCAUGUAGCUUACUCGCUUAUGUUAUUUUACCUACGCUUAGGAUGUUGACGAUCAGCUGAGCGCG